AUUGAACGCUGGCGGAAUGCUUUACACAUGCAAGUCGAACGGUAGAGGGGGCAACCCCUUGAGAGUGGCGAACGGGUGAGUAAUAUAUCGGAACGUGCCCAGUCGUGGGGAUAACGUAGCGAAAGUUACGCUAAUACCGCAUACGAUCUAAGGAUGAAAGCGGGGGGACUCGCAAGAGCCUCGCGCGAUUGGAGCGGCCGAUAUCAGAUUAGGUAGUUGGUGGGGUAAAGGCUCACCAAGCCAACGAUCUGUAGCUGGUCUGAGAGGACGACCAGCCACACUGGAACUGAGACACGGUCCAGACUCCUACGGGAGGCAGCAGUGGGGAAUUUUGGACAAUGGACGCAAGUCUGAUCCAGCCAUUCCGCGUGCAGGAUGAAGGCCCUCGGGUUGUAAACUGCUUUUGUACGGAACGAAAGGUUUCUAUUAAUACUAGGAGCUCAUGACGGUACCGUAAGAAUAAGCACCGGCUAACUACGUGCCAGCAGCCGCGGU
This 495-nucleotide ribosomal RNA is filed under the name uncultured bacterium. RNAcentral describes it as "bacterial SSU rRNA". It matches the Rfam family "Bacterial small subunit ribosomal RNA", at positions 30 to 521 of the family's 1533-position model. The record is from RNAcentral.